CCUGGUAAAUAUAGCGUAAUGGUAACACCUGAAUCCAUAUCGAACUCAGAAGUGAAAUAUUACAACGCCGAUGGUAGUACAAGGUUUCCUUGUGCAAGAGUAGGAAAUUACCAGGA
This 116-nucleotide ribosomal RNA is filed under the name Buchnera aphidicola (Therioaphis trifolii). Lineage: Bacteria; Pseudomonadati; Pseudomonadota; Gammaproteobacteria; Enterobacterales; Erwiniaceae. The record is from RNAcentral.